RNAcentral lists this ribosomal RNA (318 nucleotides) under forest soil bacterium YC04. RNAcentral describes it as "bacterial SSU rRNA". It matches the Rfam family "Bacterial small subunit ribosomal RNA", at positions 353 to 674 of the family's 1533-position model. Lineage: Bacteria; Pseudomonadati; Acidobacteriota; Terriglobia; Terriglobales; Acidobacteriaceae. The record is from RNAcentral.
AGUGGGGAAUCUUGCACAAUGGGCGAAGGCCUGAUGCAGCGACGCCGCGUGGGGGAUGAAGCUUCUCGGAGUGUAAACCCCUUUCGACCCGGACGAAUGCCCCGCAAGGGGACUGACGGUACGGGUAUAAGAAGCCCCGGCUAACUACGUGCCAGCAGCCGCGGUAAAACGUAGGGGGCCAGCGUUGCUCGGAAUUACUGGGCGUAAAGGGUCUGUAGGCGGUGCGGCAAGUCGGAAGUGAAAUCUGAGGGCUCAACCCUUAGACUGCUCCCGAAACUGCCGUGCUAGAGUGCGAGAGAGGCGGGUGGAAUUACGGGU